UAUGGCUAAUCAUGGACUAAUUAGUCUCAAGAAAUUCGUCUCACGAUUUCUUUUCCAUAACUAUGCAAUUAGUUUUUUCUUCACCUAUGUUUAAUAUUUUAUUCCGAUGUUCAAAGAUUUGAUGUGGUGUUUUUGGGAAAACUUUCUGGGAACUAUACGAGGCCUUAGCUGAUUGAUAAUAGUCCCGGCGAAGAUGAGCUUAUAUUUGUAGUACAAAG
Molecule: long non-coding RNA, 218 nt
Filed under: Oryza brachyantha (malo sina)
Lineage: Eukaryota; Viridiplantae; Streptophyta; Magnoliopsida; Poales; Poaceae
Description: long non-coding RNA (OBRA_LNC000796)
Source: RNAcentral